CCUGGUUAUUGAAGCGACUUGGCACCACCCUUUCCCAUCCCGAACAAGGUCGUGAAACGAGUUAGCGCUUAUGAUACUUCUGCGUUUUCGCAGAGGGAAAGUAGGUCGUAGCCGGGG
Molecule: ribosomal RNA, 117 nt
Filed under: Candidatus Roizmanbacteria bacterium RIFOXYA1_FULL_37_12
Lineage: Bacteria; Candidatus Roizmaniibacteriota
Also listed under: 6 other names
Source: RNAcentral